ACCCAUAAAAAAUAAAGACCAAUUGAAAAUUUGCUGACAAUUGCUUAUUCUGUAACAUACUUAAAAUUAAUUAAAAGGUGAUCCAACCCCCUUUAAUCAAAAAGGGAAAUAUUUCCUGAUAUAUUACCAUUCGUUGCUAUGCUAAUCCCCCAGGCCCAAUUCAUAGUAAAUCUCUUCAUAACUUGCAAUAAUGUGAUAAUGAUAUUUGCUUAGGUGUUAGGAACGAUAUCACUUGUCUUAUGAAGAAGCCCAGAGGAAUGGGACUGUUUACAAACAAUGGUGCUACACUAAGGUCGCUUUAUACACCGCACACAGGAGCGACCCAUGUGAUUUUACUUCUACAUAGGGUUAAUUGUACUGAUUGCCUAUUCAUUGCAAUACUGGAGGAAUGGGCAUAGCUAUGUUUAAGGGCUAAAAGACACUGUUGGGAUAGCCAUUCACCCAUAUUACAGUAUUAUAUAUUAUUUGUUAAAUCGCUGUUUAUUAGAUUGGUUACCAUGCUACACACAGGUCUCAUUUACUUAUGCAGCCAGUGCAAUUUUCAUGCAAUUUUUAAUGCAAAAUGCAGAAUUCCUGUACACACCAAGCUGCUUUCAUUGCAUCUGAACCAAUAUGCACAAUAGUGUCUGUUUUGGUAAAUAGUACAUAAAUGCUGGUGCGCACUAUAUUCCCCAGCAUUAGCGAUUUGACUGAUAUACUGGAAUAGGUCAGUUGUGGCUGCCGGUGCAAUUCACUUAGGGAACCCUGCAAUUUCCGCCGUGUCCAGGCUGCUGGGAGUUGCAGGGUUCCCUGGGGUCCAGGCUGGAUAGGUGCAAUAGUAGUCAAUGCAGGUUGCUAGGAGCAUGUAUGCUGUCCUAGCAUGGAGCUGUUGUGAAUAGUGUCAGUAAUGCUCAGUGUUGCAUCAAGGCCGGUGUUAGCCCCUAUGGCAUUACAUUGGGACUCACUUUGCACAUUACACCUGGGCAGUAACCGAUAGCAAAACUGGUGAAAAACAGAUGGGGUGGGGGUUUAGUACUCCUUUAACCAGCAUGGUUUUGAGUAGCCUCCAUACACUACAGUGAUUUGAUCCUAAUUAUACCACUGCAAUGUUAGUGUAUGGGGGGGCUAACGCCUCAAUUUUGGGCUACAUAAAAAUGCAGUGUUUACAGUUACCCAUAAGGGGUUAUAUUCUUAGACCCCUAACAGAAGUGCAAGAACAUUAAUGGGUAGAAAACAGUUAUGUGCGGGUCAGUACAAAGUCAACCCUAACCCAAUAACUUGUCAGUCAAACCCAACUCUAACUGAGUCUCCAUAUUUAUAGACCCGCACCUGACCUGCCCCUCUCUGACAUCACGAAAGGGGUGGAACAUGUGGGCCCAAAUCUAUAAAUACUGACAUCAAAAGUUGGAAGCAGGGCAUUGUAAGGUUGCAGGCAGUGUAGGAGCAUGGAAAACCUCAGCCCGAACCUGCCCACAGGUUUCAGGCAUUGUAAGGUUGCAGGCAGUGUAGGAGCAUGGAAAACCUCAGCCCGAACCUGCCCACAGGUUUCAGGCCAGCCAGCACAUCACUAAUGAAAAAUGUGCCCUUUAGUUCUCAUUCAUACAGCGUGCCUGGGUAGGGUCUGCUUCGGCGCUUAAAGAAUGCAGAACUGGUGGGUACAAGGCAGCCCUGUCUUUUAUGCCCUAGAGAAGGCGGUAAGUACAGGGCCCUGUUGCCAGCUGUGCCUACUCUUGUCAUGCAGGGGACUCCUACUUGCCCCUUGUGAAUACAAUGCGCCAACACAGGCAGCACUAUAUUCAGAGAGAACACAGGAUUCUGGGCUCUGUUUGUGGGUGCAGAGUAGGGUUGCCCGGGUCAAAACUUCCUGCCCGGUUUCCCAAAUUAGGAAAACUGGGCAGGGCUCAGUAACAAUGUUGCAGCGAUUGGCCAAUCGCUGUAUCAUAGCCCCAUCGCGUCAUGGCCCCACCCACACCAUCACGGUCCUGCCUCCUCCACCCAUGACGUCACCCCUGCCCCCUGCCUGGCUAAGCAAGCUGGCAGAGGUGGCAACCCAAGUGCAGAGACCUGCUGCAAUUUCCCCCCCCAAGCCCAGAGCAAAGUGCAAAAAAUAAAGAGCUUAUUAAAGUUUGAUAUCUAUGGUUUGUCUUCCCUGGUAAUAUCUAAUUAGUAUAUAUCUGCACUGUAACUAAGGAACUAUCAUACUUUCCAAACAAAUGUACUGCGGUCGGCAGGAAAUACACACAAAUUUACAUUUCAAUUAAAAAAAAAAAAAAAGGGUGAAAGGGUGGUUUGUUUAUUACGGCACUAAUUAAUCCUGUCAUUUGAAAAACCGUUAGCCAUUAAGCACAAAACAAACAGAUAUUCAAGCUAAUAACCUAUUAUAUCAGCUUCUUCCAACCAUUAAGGAGUAAUGCUUUCACUAAUCAUGUAUUACACUUUCCCUAUCCACGCGGCGAUUCCAUAAAAAGACGCAUUUUUGUCCUUCUUUCUGUGAGCGGUGUAUCGGGUCACGCCGGUAUCAUUAAACCCACUGGAGAAUCAUCUUCCGUAAGAGAUUUGUUUUGUGAGGGGGAAAAAGGAAUGCAAUAAAUAAACCAUGAAAAUCUAAAUCAUAUUUCAUAUUUUAUGCUCCGGAAUCCGUUUGUGCAGAGCAGCGAAGAGGGAUAUGUUAAUUAUGGAACCGCCGUCCCAGCAAAGCCCAGUGCCAAGAUGUGGCUUUUCGCUAAAUCCUUAUUGUAUUCAACAUAAAAUAAUAUUAUCCGCAAAGUUUAUAGUUUUUAUUUUGUACAUUUUCAUAAGAAUACUAUUACUGUCAGAUUUGCCUUUCUGAAUUAAAUAUACAUUUGUGGCAAUAAAAAAAUCACAGACUGGGA
Xenopus tropicalis (tropical clawed frog) is the source of this 2852-nucleotide long non-coding RNA. RefSeq lists it as uncharacterized. The record is from RefSeq and is a predicted model, not a curated record. NCBI's taxonomy places the organism in Eukaryota, Metazoa, Chordata, Amphibia, Anura, Pipidae. The transcript is spliced from 2 exons.